Molecule: long non-coding RNA, 85 nt
Organism: Phyllostomus discolor (pale spear-nosed bat)
Lineage: Eukaryota; Metazoa; Chordata; Mammalia; Chiroptera; Phyllostomidae
Exons: 3
Source: RefSeq, a predicted model, not a curated record
UGCAUUCAGCAAACGUGAGAACAAAUGUCGGAGACUUUUAGGGUAUUAAAGAUGUUGCUUUAUUGGCCAAAACAAGCUUUCUACC